Molecule: ribosomal RNA, 410 nt
Filed under: uncultured bacterium
Lineage: Bacteria
Description: bacterial SSU rRNA
Rfam family: Bacterial small subunit ribosomal RNA
Source: RNAcentral
GUGUCAGCAGCCGCGGUAAUACGUAGGGGGCGAGCGUUGUCCGGAAUUACUGGGCGUAAAGGGCACGCAGGCUGUGUGUCAAGUCAGCUGUCAAAGGAUGCGGCUUAACCGUGUUAUGCAGUUGAGACUGAUGUACUGGAGUACCGAAGAGGCAAGUGGAAUUCCCAGUGUAGCGGUGAAAUGCGUAGAUAUUGGGAAGAACAUCGGUGGCGAAGGCGACUUGCUGGUCGGUAACUGACGCUGAGGUGCGAAAGCCAGGGGAGCAAACGGGAUUAGAUACCCCGGUAGUCCUGGCCGUAAACGAUGAAUGCUAGGUGUGUGAGUAGAGAUACUGACGUGCCGCAGUUAACGCGAUAAGCAUUCCGCCUGGGGAGUACGGUCGCAAGAUUGAAACUUAAAUAAAUUGACGG